AGUGAACGCUGGCGGUAGGCCUAACACAUGCCAGUCGAACGGCAGCACAGUAAGAGCUUGCUCUUACGGGUGGCGAGUGGCGGACGGGUGAGGAAUACAUCGGAAUCUACUUUUUCGUGGGGGAUAACGUAGGGAAACUUACGCUAAUACCGCAUACGACCUACGGGUGAAAGCAGGGGAUCUUUGGACCUUGCGCGAUUGAAUGAGCCGAUGUCGGAUUAGCUAGUUGGCGGGGUAAAGGCCCACCAAGGCGACGAUCCGUAGCUGGUCUGAGAGGAUGAUCAGCCACACUGGAACUGAGACACGGUCCAGACUCCUACGGGAGGCAGCAGUGGGGAAUAUUGGACAAUGGGCGCAAGCCUGAUCCAGCCAUACCGCGUGGGUGAAGAAGGCCUUCGGGUUGUAAAGCCCUUUUGUUGGGAAAGAAAAGCAGCAGGUUAAUACCCCGCUGUUCUGACGGUACCCAAAGAAUAAGCACCGGCUAACUUCGUG
Molecule: ribosomal RNA, 492 nt
Filed under: uncultured bacterium
Lineage: Bacteria
Description: partial 16S ribosomal RNA
Rfam family: Bacterial small subunit ribosomal RNA
Source: RNAcentral